GUCUACGGCCAUGUCACUCUGAAUAAGCCCAAUCCCGUCUGAUCUCGGAAGCUAAGUAGGGUCGGGCCUGGUUAGACUUCGGGCCUAGGGAGACCACCUAGGAAGACCAGGUGCUGUAGGCG
This 122-nucleotide ribosomal RNA is filed under the name Pteropus vampyrus (large flying fox). Lineage: Eukaryota; Metazoa; Chordata; Mammalia; Chiroptera; Pteropodidae. The record is from RNAcentral.